Molecule: ribosomal RNA, 600 nt
Filed under: uncultured bacterium
Lineage: Bacteria
Description: bacterial SSU rRNA
Rfam family: Bacterial small subunit ribosomal RNA (bases 1-517)
Source: RNAcentral
CCUACGGGAGGCAGCAGUGGGGAAUAUUGGACAAUGGGCGCAAGCCUGAUCCAGCAAUGCCGCGUGAGUGAUGAAGGCCUUAGGGUCGUAAAGCUCUUUUACCAGGGAUGAUAAUGACAGUACCUGGAGAAUAAGCUCCGGCUAACUCCGUGCCAGCAGCCGCGGUAAUACGGAGGGAGCUAGCGUUGUUCGGAAUUACUGGGCGUAAAGCGUACGUAGGCGGUUAUUCAAGUCAGAGGUGAAAGCCCGGGGCUCAACCCCGGAACGGCCUUUGAAACUAGGUAGCUAGAAUCUUGGAGAGGUCAGUGGAAUUCCGAGUGUAGAGGUGAAAUUCGUAGAUAUUCGGAAGAACACCAGUGGCGAAGGCGACUGACUGGACAAGUAUUGACGCUGAGGUACGAAAGCGUGGGGAGCAAACAGGAUUAGAUACCCUGGUAGUCCACGCCGUAAACGAUGAUAACUAGCUGUCCGGGCACUUGGUGCCUGGGUGGCGCNGCUACGCAUUAAGUUAUCCGUCCGUGGGAGGUACGGUCGCGAGAGUAAACUACAAAGAAGUAGUAGUAACGUGUGAGAGUCGACGACGACGACGAGGAGGAGGAG